Molecule: long non-coding RNA, 606 nt
Organism: Eurytemora carolleeae
Lineage: Eukaryota; Metazoa; Arthropoda; Copepoda; Calanoida; Temoridae
Exons: 3
Source: RefSeq, a predicted model, not a curated record
UUUUGGGUCGAGUUGGAAAGACAAAGGCAAAGACGAAAGAGCAGGCUGUCCCAGAGGAAAGAAGUGGGACAAGGGAAAAUGACCAAACACUUCCUGAAAUUUUUGCACCAGUAGCAAAGAAAAGCAAACCAUCACUGCUGGAUGAAGUUAGGACACCCUUCGAGGAGCUCAGUCAAAAUCGAAUAAACCUGUGAAAAAAGAUAAUGACGAGAUGCCCACAAGCCGACAUUUCCGCUUCUUACUACGCGAAGAUGUUAUUAUUUCUUCAACAAAGAAUUAAUUUUAACGAAUUUAGACUUUUCUGUGGAAAGAAAUCUAGAAAAAAUUAUCUAAAAUACACAAAAUGUGUCUAAUGAGGGGGCCCCUAACCUCUGACAUUUUUACAAUUCUAAAACUGGUCCAAUUUUCUACUUUCCUACGAACUAAAUCUAUUUUUAGACCUCUUCUGAUCAUCGGGUUGUAACAUCUAUCUCUUUAGAAUGGGUAUGACAAAAGGCAAGGAGAUUGUGCAAAGAAAUAUUAUGCACAUUCCACACCGGACUAACCAGAGUGAGCAGUGUUCGGUUUCUUAUAUUUGAAAUCAAACGUGUUUUGGUCUUUGAUUCA